AUGCAGUCGAGCGGGGGAAGGUAGCUUGCUACCGGACCUAGCGGCGGACGGGUGAGUAAUGCUUAGGAAUCUGCCUAUUAGUGGGGGACAACAUCUCGAAAGGGAUGCUAAUACCGCAUACGUCCUACGGGAGAAAGCAGGGGAUCUUCGGACCUUGCGCUAAUAGAUGAGCCUAAGUCGGAUUAGCUAGUUGGUGGGGUAAAGGCCUACCAAGGCGACGAUCUGUAGCGGGUCUGAGAGGAUGAUCCGCCACACUGGGACUGAGACACGGCCCAGACUCCUACGGGAGGCAGCAGUGGGGAAUAUUGGACAAUGGGGGGAACCCUGAUCCAGCCAUGCCGCGUGUGUGAAGAAGGCCUUAUGGUUGUAAAGCACUUUAAGCGAGGAGGAGGCUACUUUAGUUAAUACCUAGAGAUAGUGGACGUUACUCGCAGAAUAAGCACCGGCUAACUCUGUGCCAGCAGCCGCGGUAAUACAGAGGGUGCGAGCGUUAAUCGGAUUUACUGGGCGUAAAGCGUGCGUAGGCGGCUUAUUAAGUCGGAUGUGAAAUCCCCGAGCUUAACUUGGGAAUUGCAUUCGAUACUGGUGAGCUAGAGUAUGGGAGAGGAUGGUAGAAUUCCAGGUGUAGCGGUGAAAUGCGUAGAGAUCUGGAGGAAUACCGAUGGCGAAGGCAGCCAUCUGGCCUAAUACUGACGCUGAGGUACGAAAGCAUGGGGAGCAAACAGGAUUAGAUACCCUGGUAGUCCAUGCCGUAAACGAUGUCUA
Molecule: ribosomal RNA, 765 nt
Filed under: Acinetobacter sp. JC274
Lineage: Bacteria; Pseudomonadati; Pseudomonadota; Gammaproteobacteria; Moraxellales; Moraxellaceae
Description: bacterial SSU rRNA
Rfam family: Bacterial small subunit ribosomal RNA
Source: RNAcentral